CCUGGGCCCUGUUCUCUAGUCCACCGUGGACCGGGCGGUCCACGGAUGGGCCUGUGGACUGUGUAGGCGUUUUCUACGCAUUUCUUAUGGUCCACGGCACUAUUCCAUAGACCGAAGCGCGAUCGAAGGGCCCAGAGACGUCCCGAUCUUGAUCCGACGAUCUAAGGGGUUAUCUGGUUUUGUUUAGGACUCCUAAUCCAUCUCUAAUCAAGUUUUAAGCCUUUUAAAUGGGACU
RNAcentral lists this long non-coding RNA (235 nucleotides) under Elaeis guineensis (African oil palm). RNAcentral describes it as "long non-coding RNA (EGUI_LNC054552)". The record is from RNAcentral. Lineage: Eukaryota; Viridiplantae; Streptophyta; Magnoliopsida; Arecales; Arecaceae.